This 396-nucleotide ribosomal RNA is filed under the name uncultured bacterium. RNAcentral describes it as "bacterial SSU rRNA". It matches the Rfam family "Bacterial small subunit ribosomal RNA", at positions 30 to 429 of the family's 1533-position model. The record is from RNAcentral.
AUUGAACGCUGGCGGCAUGCCUUACACAUGCAAGUCGAACGGCAGCACGGGGCAACCUGGUGGCGAGUGGCGAACGGGUGAGUAAUGCAUCGGAACGUGCCAUUGAGUGGGGGAUAACGUAGCGAAAGUUGCGCUAAUACCGCAUAAUUCUGUGAGCAGGAAAGCAGGGGACCGCAAGGCCUUGCGCUCUUUGAGCGGCCGAUGUCAGAUUAGCUAGUUGGUGAGGUAACGGCUUACCAAGGCGACGAUCUGUAGCGGGUCUGAGAGGAUGAUCCGCCACACUGGAACUGAGACACGGUCCAGACUCCUACGGGAGGCAGCAGUGGGGAAUUUUGGACAAUGGGCGCAAGCCUGAUCCAGCCAUGCCGCGUGAGUGAAGAAGGCCUCGGUUGUAAG